CCUACGGGUGGCAGCAGUGAGGAAUAUUGGUCAAUGGACGAGAGUCUGAACCAGCCAAGCAGCGUGUAGGAUGACUGCCCUCUGGGUUGGAAACUUCUUUUCUAUGGGAAUAAAACGUUCCACGUGUGGGCUUUUGUAUGUACCAUAUGCAUAAGGAUCGGCUAACGCCGUGCCAGCAGCCGCGGUAAUACGGAGGAUACGAGCGUUAUCCGGAUUUAUGGGGUUUAAAGGGAACGUAGGUGGAUUCUUAAGUCAGUUGUGAAAGUUUGCGGCUCAACCCGACAAUUGCAGUUGACACUGGCAGUCUUGAGUACAGUAGAGGUGGGCGGAAUUCGAGGUGUAGCGGUGAAAUGCUUAGAGAUCUCGAAGAACUCCGAUUGCGAAGGCAGUUCACUGGACUACAACUGACACUGAGGCUCGAAAGUGUGGGUAUCAAACAGGAUUAGAUACCCGGGUAGUC
This 460-nucleotide ribosomal RNA is filed under the name uncultured bacterium. RNAcentral's name for it is "partial 16S ribosomal RNA". It matches the Rfam family "Bacterial small subunit ribosomal RNA", at positions 338 to 795 of the family's 1533-position model. The record is from RNAcentral.